This is a non-coding RNA of Cinara cedri, 243 nucleotides long. The record is from the annotation of a GenBank genome assembly. Lineage: Eukaryota; Metazoa; Arthropoda; Insecta; Hemiptera; Aphididae.
GAAAAGUAAAAUAGUAGUUUACUGUAAAACUUACUAUUGUAACUGGGAAUGGCACCUGUAGACUGUCCGACUGAUGAUCUGUAACUCGAAUCUAAGUAACUUUCUUCUUCCCAAGGUCUCUAAUGGUCCAAAUUACGGGAUAGCGCUGUAUAGAAUUAAAUACAACAAUUUAGUAUUACUCCAGUAAUAAGUAUCAUUUCUGUGCAAGAUAUUGGGAACAAUACACUCAAAAACGUGUUUUUG